UACGGAGGGGGCUAGCGUUGUUCGGAAUUACUGGGCGUAAAGCGCACGUAGGCGGUCUUGUAUGUCGAUUGUGAAAGCCCCGGGCUCAACCUGGGAACUGCGGUCGAAACUGCAAGACUUGAAUGUUGGAGAGGUUGGGGGAAUACCUAGUGGAGAAGUGAAAUUCGUAGAGAUUAGGUGGAACACCAGAGGCGAAGGCGCCUGACUGGCCAAACAUUGACGCUGAGGCGCGAAAGCGUGGGUAGCAAACAGG
This 253-nucleotide ribosomal RNA is filed under the name uncultured bacterium. RNAcentral describes it as "partial 16S ribosomal RNA". It matches the Rfam family "Bacterial small subunit ribosomal RNA", at positions 524 to 776 of the family's 1533-position model. The record is from RNAcentral.